RNAcentral lists this ribosomal RNA (1342 nucleotides) under uncultured bacterium. RNAcentral's name for it is "16S ribosomal RNA". It matches the Rfam family "Bacterial small subunit ribosomal RNA", at positions 28 to 1378 of the family's 1533-position model. The record is from RNAcentral.
GACGAACGCUGGCGGCGUGCUUAACACAUGCAAGUCGAACGGAAAGGCCCUGCUUUUGUGGGGUGCUCGAGUGGCGAACGGGUGAGUAACGCGUGAGUAACCUGCCCUUGACUUUGGGAUAACUUCAGGAAACUGGGGCUAAUACCGGAUAGGAGCUCCUGCUGCAUGGUGGGGGUUGGAAAGUUUCGGCGGUUGGGGAUGGACUCGCGGCUUAUCAGCUUGUUGGUGGGGUAGUGGCUUACCAAGGCUUUGACGGGUAGCCGGCCUGAGAGGGUGACCGGCCACAUUGGGACUGAGAUACGGCCCAGGCUCCUACGGGAGGCAGCAGUGGGGAAUAUUGCACAAUGGGCGGAAGCCUGAUGCAGCAACGCCGCGUGCGGGAUGACGGCCUUCGGGUUGUAAACCGCUUUCGCCUGUGACGAAGCGUGAGUGACGGUAAUGGGUAAAGAAGCACCGGCUAACUACGUGCCAGCAGCCGCGGUGAUACGUAGGGUGCGAGCGUUGUCCGGAUUUAUUGGGCGUAAAGGGCUCGUAGGUGGUUGAUCGCGUCGGAAGUGUAAUCUUGGGGCUUAACCCUGAGCGUGCUUUCGAUACGGGUUGACUUGAGGAAGGUAGGGGAGAAUGGAAUUCCUGGUGGAGCGGUGGAAUGCGCAGAUAUCAGGAGGAACACCAGUGGCGAAGGCGGUUCUCUGGGCCUUUCCUGACGCUGAGGAGCGAAAGCGUGGGGAGCGAACAGGCUUAGAUACCCUGGUAGUCCACGCUGUAAACGGUGGGUACUAGGUGUGGGGUCCAUUCCACGGGUUCCGUGCCGUAGCUAACGCUUUAAGUACCCCGCCUGGGGAGUACGGCCGCAAGGCUAAAACUCAAAGGAAUUGACGGGGCCCCGCACAAGCGGCGGAGCAUGCGGAUUAAUUCGAUGCAACGCGUAGAACCUUACCUGGGUUGACAUGGAUCGGGAGCGCUCAGAGAUGGGUGUGCCUCUUUUGGGGUCGGUUCACAGGUGGUGCAUGGCUGUCGUCAGCUCGUGUCGUGAGAUGUUGGGUUAAGUCCCGCAACGAGCGCAACCCUUGUUCACUGUUGCCAGCACGUUAUGGUGGGGACUCAGUGGAGACCGCCGGGGUCAACUCGGAGGAAGGUGGGGAUGACGUCAAGUCAUCAUGCCCCUUAUGUCCAGGGCUUCACGCAUGCUACAAUGGCUGGUACAGAGAGUGGCGAGCCUGUGAGGGUGAGCGAAUCUCGGAAAGCCGGUCUCAGUUCGGAUUGGGGUCUGCAACUCGACCUCAUGAAGUCGGAGUCGCUAGUAAUCGCAGAUCAGCAACGCUGCGGUGAAUACGUUCCCGGG